This 433-nucleotide ribosomal RNA is filed under the name uncultured bacterium. Its description in RNAcentral is "bacterial SSU rRNA". It matches the Rfam family "Bacterial small subunit ribosomal RNA", at positions 29 to 507 of the family's 1533-position model. The record is from RNAcentral.
AACGAACGCUGGCGGCAGGCCUAACACAUGCAAGUCGAACGCCGUAGCAAUACGGAGUGGCAGACGGGUGAGUAACACGUGGGAACGUACCUUUCGGUUCGGAAUAACUCAGGGAAACUUGAGCUAAUACCGGAUACGUGCGAGAGCAGAAAGAUUUAUCGCCGAAAGAUCGGCCCGCGUCCGAUUAGCUAGUUGGUGAGGUAAUGGCUCACCAAGGCGACGAUCGGUAGCUGGUCUGAGAGGAUGAUCAGCCACACUGGGACUGAGACACGGCCCAGACUCCUACGGGAGGCAGCAGUGGGGAAUAUUGGACAAUGGGCGAAAGCCUGAUCCAGCCAUGCCGCGUGAGUGAUGACGGCCUUAGGGUUGUAAAGCUCUUUCGCCAGGGACGAUAAUGACGGUACCUGGAUAAGAAGCCCCGGCUAACUUCGUG